Molecule: ribosomal RNA, 379 nt
Filed under: uncultured eukaryote
Lineage: Eukaryota
Description: partial 18S ribosomal RNA
Rfam family: Eukaryotic small subunit ribosomal RNA
Source: RNAcentral
CAAUAGCGUAUAUUUAAGUUGUUGCAGUUAAAAAGCUCGUAGUUGGAUUUCGGAUGGGACUUGCCGGUCCGUCGUUUCGAUGUGCACUGGCCAGUCCUAUCUUGUUGUCGGGGACUAGCUCCUGGGCUUCACUGUCCGGGACUAGGAGCUGACGAGGUUACUUUGAGUAAAUUAGAGUGUUCAAAGCAAGCCUACGCUCUGAAUACAUUAGCAUGGAAUAACACGAUAGGACUCUGGCUUAUCUUGUUGGUCUGUGAGACCAGAGUAAUGAUUAAGAGGGACAGUCGGGGGCAUUCGUAUUUCAUCGUCAGAGGUGAAAUUCUUGGAUUUAUGAAAGACGAACUUCUGCGAAAGCAUUUGUCAAGGAUGUUUUCAUUAA